CGAAAACACACACUAGUAACUCUCUCUUACUAACUGCAGUCUCGCCAAAAGCUCUUAAAUUCGAGUGACCAAAGCUGCAUUGUAUUGGGACUCCCCCCCUUAUAGAGUACAAUAAUUUCUAACUCGAAAGAACGAAAAACGUUUCCCUAACAAAACUAAUGUGAUUUCUCAUGCGCUUUUUUAAUGGAUCAUUGGCGCUGAUGCAGUAAUAUUUUUGCCAUUUUUUGCGGCUGCUCAUUAAUUAGUGUUGUUACUAAAUAAAGCGUCCAACUAACUAAACCAA
RNAcentral lists this small RNA (283 nucleotides) under Drosophila pseudoobscura pseudoobscura. RNAcentral describes it as "GA33004". Lineage: Eukaryota; Metazoa; Arthropoda; Insecta; Diptera; Drosophilidae. The record is from RNAcentral.